This 372-nucleotide ribosomal RNA is filed under the name uncultured bacterium. Its description in RNAcentral is "bacterial SSU rRNA". It matches the Rfam family "Bacterial small subunit ribosomal RNA", at positions 29 to 417 of the family's 1533-position model. The record is from RNAcentral.
AAUGAACGUUGGCGGCGUGGAUUAGGCAUGCAAGUCGAGCGGAAAGGCCCGCAAGGGCACUCGAGCGGCGUAAGGGACAGUAAUGUGUAGGUACGUACCCCUGGGUCUAGGAUAGCUGCGGGAAACUGCAAUUAAUACUAGAUGAUGUCUCCGGACCAAAGGUGUGAUUCCACCCAGGGAGCGGCCUACAUCCUAUUAGCUAGUUGGUGAGGUGACGGCUCACCAAGGCGAAGAUGGGUAGCAGGUGUGAGAGCACGACCUGCGUCACUGGGACUGAGACACUGCCCAGACACCUACGGGUGGCUGCAGUCGAGAAUCUUCGGCAAUGGGCGAAAGCCUGACCGAGCGACGCCGCGUGCGGGAUGAAGGCCU